This 1403-nucleotide ribosomal RNA is filed under the name uncultured Bacilli bacterium. RNAcentral describes it as "bacterial SSU rRNA". It matches the Rfam family "Bacterial small subunit ribosomal RNA", at positions 32 to 1395 of the family's 1533-position model. Lineage: Bacteria; Bacillati; Bacillota; Bacilli. The record is from RNAcentral.
AACGCUGGCGGCGUGCCUAAUACAUGCGAGUCGAACGAGCUCUCCUAAAUUGAUUUUAUGCUUGCAUAAAUGAUUUUUAGAUUCGGAGCGAGUGGCGAACUGGUGAGUAACACGUGGGUAACCUGCCCCGAAGCGGGGGAUAACAUUUGGAAACAAAUGCUAAUACCGCAUAAUUAGUUGGAACCGCAUGGUUCCAACUUGAAAGAUGGCUCUGCUAUCACUUUGGGAUGGACCCGCGCCGUAUUAGUUAGUUGGUGAGAUAAAAGCCCACCAAGACGAUGAUACGUAGCCGACCUGAGAGGGUAAUCGGCCACAUUGGGACUGAGACACGGCCCAGACUCCUACGGGAGGCAGCAGUAGGGAAUCUUCCACAAUGGACGAAAGUCUGAUGGAGCAACGCCGCGUGAGUGAUGAAGGUUUUCGGAUCGUAAAACUCUGUUGUUAAAGAAGAACAAGUGUUAGAGUAACUGUUAACACUUUGACGGUAUUUAACCAGAAAGCCACGGCUAACUACGUGCCAGCAGCCGCGGUAAUACGUAGGUGGCAAGCGUUGUCCGGAUUUAUUGGGCGUAAAGCGAGCGCAGGCGGUUUUGUAAGUCUGCUGUGAAAGCCCUCAGCUCAACUGAGGAAGUGCAGUGGAAACUACAAAACUUGAGUACAGAAGAGAAAGUGGAACUCCAUGUGUAGCGGUGAAAUGCGUAGAUAUAUGGAAGAACACCAGUGGCGAAGGCGGCUUUCUGGUCUGUUACUGACGCUGAGGCUCGAAAGCAUGGGUAGCGAACAGGAUUAGAUACCCUGGUAGUCCAUGCCGUAAACGAUGAAUACUAGGUGUUGGAGGGUGUCCGCCCUUCAGUGCCGCAGCUAACGCAUUAAGUAUUCCGCCUGGGGAGUACGACCGCAAGGUUGAAACUCAAAGGAAUUGACGGGGGCCCGCACAAGUGGUGGAGCAUGUGGUUUAAUUCGAUGCUACGCGAAGAACCUUACCAGCUCUUGACAUCUUCUGCCAACCCAAGAGAUUGGGCGUUCCCUUCGGGGACAGAAUGACAGGUGGUGCAUGGUUGUCGUCAGCUCGUGUCGUGAGAUGUUGGGUUAAGUCCCGCAACGAGCGCAACCCUUAUUAUUAGUUGCCAGCAUUUAGUUGGGCACUCUAGUGAGACUGCCGGUGAUAAACCGGAGGAAGGUGGGGACGACGUCAAAUCAUCAUGCCCCUUAUGAGCUGGGCUACACACGUGCUACAAUGGAUGGUACAACGAGUCGCGAAACCGCGAGGUCAAGCUAAUCUCUUAAAGCCAUUCUCAGUUCGGAUUGCAGGCUGCAACUCGCCUGCAUGAAGUUGGAAUCACUAGUAAUCGUGGAUCAGCAUGCCACGGUGAAUACGUUCCCGGGCCUUGUACACACCGCCC